GGGCUCGCAGGCGGUUUCUUAAGUCUGAUGUGAAAGCCCCCGCCUCUACCGGGGAGGGUCAUUGGAAACUGGGGAACUUGAGUGCCUAAGAGGAGAGUGGAAUUCCACGUGUAGCGGUGAAAUGCGUAGAGAUGUGGAGGAACACCAGUGGCGAAGGCGACUCUCUGGUCUGUAACUGACGCUGAGGAGCGAAAGCGUGGGGAGCGAACAGGAUUACA
Molecule: ribosomal RNA, 218 nt
Filed under: Bacillus subtilis
Lineage: Bacteria; Bacillati; Bacillota; Bacilli; Caryophanales; Bacillaceae
Description: partial 16S ribosomal RNA
Rfam family: Bacterial small subunit ribosomal RNA
Source: RNAcentral